CGAACGCUGGCGGCAGGCCUAACACAUGCAAGUCGAGCGGGCAUCCUUCGGGAUGUUAGCGGCGGACGGGUGAGUAACGCGUGGGAACGUGCCCUUUGCUACGGAAUAGCCUCGGGAAACUGAGAGUAAUACCGUAUGUGCCCUUCGGGGGAAAGAUUUAUCGGCAAAGGAUCGGCCCGCGUUGGAUUAGGUAGUUGGUAGGGUAAUGGCCUACCAAGCCGACGAUCCAUAGCUGGUUUGAGAGGAUGAUCAGCCACACUGGGACUGAGACACGGCCCAGACUCCUACGGGAGGCAGCAGUGGGGAAUCUUAGACAAUGGGGGGAAACCCUGAUCUAGCCAUGCCGCGUGAGCGAUGAAGGCCUUAGGGUUGUAAAGCUCUUUCAGUGGGGAAGAUAAUGACGGUACCCACAGAAGAAGCCCCGGCUAACUCCGUGCCAGCAG
Molecule: ribosomal RNA, 443 nt
Filed under: uncultured bacterium
Lineage: Bacteria
Description: bacterial SSU rRNA
Rfam family: Bacterial small subunit ribosomal RNA
Source: RNAcentral